UGAAUACGAGACGCUAAGGCGUCGAAGUAGUGUAUGUCAUACUUCCAAGAAAAGCUUGCACUGUCAUAGAUAAAAAACGCCUGUACCAUAACCGACACAGGUGGGUAGGUAGAGUAUACUAAGGGGCGCGAGAUAACUCUCUCUAAGGAACUCGGCAAAAUAACUCCGUAACUUCGGGAGAAGGAGUGCCUUAUUCGUAAGGUUGCAAUAACAAGAUCCAAGCAACUUUUAUCAAAAACACAGGUCUCCGCUAAGUCGUAAGACGAUGUAUGGGGGCUGACGCCUGCCCAGUGCCAGAAGGUCAAAGAAGUUGGUUAGCAAUUGCGAAGCUGAUAACUGAAGCCCUGGUGAACGGCGGCCGUAACAAUAACGGUCCUAAGGUAGCGGAAUUCCUUGUCGGGUAAGUUCCGACCCGCACGAAAGGCGUAAUGAUUUGGAUACUGUCUCGGAGAGGGGCUCGGUGAAAUAGACUUGUCUGUGAAGAUGCGGACUACCUGCACCAGGACAGAAAGACCCUAUGAAGCUUUACUGUAACUUGAAAUUGAAAUUGGACUUUAUUCGCGCAGUAUAGGUGGGAGGCGUUGAUUAUAAUCUUGUGGGAUUAUUGGAGCCAUCAGUGAGAUACCACUCUUGUAAUGUUAGAUUUCUAACUUUGAAUCAUUAUCUGGUCAAAGAACAGUUUCAGGCGGGCAGUUUGACUGGGGCGGUCGCCUCCUAAACGGUAACGGAGGCGUACAAAGGUUUCCUCUGAACGGUUAGAAAUCGUAUCUAGAGUGUAAAGGCAUAAGGAAGCUUGACUGUGAGACCUACAAGUCGAGCAGGGACGAAAGUCGGUCUUAGUGAUCUGACGGUACUGAGUGGAAAGGCCGUCACUCAACGGAUAAAAGUUACUCUAAGGAUAACAGGCUGAUCUCCCCCAAGAGUUCACAUCGACGGGGAGGUUUGGCACCUCGAUGUCGGCUCAUCGCAUCCUGGGGCGGUAGUACGUCCCAAGGGUUGGGCUGUUCGCCCAUGAAAGCGGUACGCGAGCUGGGUUCAGAACGCCGUGAGACAGUUCGGUCCAUAUCCGGUGUAGGCGUUAGAAUAUUGAGAGGAGCCUUCUUUAGUACGAGAGGACCGAGAAGGACAUACCUCUGGUGUACCAGUUAUCGUGCCAACGGUAAACGCUGGGUAGCUAUGUAUGGAGUGGAUAACCGCUGAAAGCAUCUAAGUGGGAAGCCCACCUCAAGAUAAGUAUUCGC
This 1241-nucleotide ribosomal RNA is filed under the name metagenome. Its description in RNAcentral is "bacterial LSU rRNA". It matches the Rfam family "Bacterial large subunit ribosomal RNA", at positions 1564 to 2815 of the family's 2925-position model. The record is from RNAcentral.